GCGCUCUCUUUCUUUGCCUGCUUUCAACGAGAGAAGAGGUCCCUCUGGAAUCAUCUCGAAGGUGCGGGUGUUCUUUGGAAGGGAGUAGAAAGCCUAUCGUCUAAGCGAUGACAACCAUGAAAACCCCAGGACCAAGCAAGAGGUGGUGGUUCGCUCUCCGUGCCAGGGUUGCCACAUUUGGUGGAGAAUGCGGGCAACUCGACCGUGCUACGGACAAUCAUUGGGAGUGAUCGACGACGCAGCCAGAAACGAGGACACGAGAGACGAGGGCGCCAGAGAAGAGGCUGCGUGAGUCGAGGCUGCGUGAGUCGAGGCCGCCAGAGACGAGGCUGCGUGAGACGAGGCCGCCAGAGACGAGGCCGCGUGAGUCGAGGCCGCCAGAGUCGAGGCCGCCAGAGACGACGCCGCAAAACGAGCCACGCUGGCAGCAGAAGCCGCCACGCUACCCGCAGGACCGUCGCUCCUCCGAGAGGCCUCCCGAGGCUUCAUCAAAGGGUGGAGGAGUGAGGCAACCCGGCCUUUGCCAAUCAACUUGAUGCAGAGCACCUGAGGGCCAGAGGGAGAGCAGACCUUAAAUAGCCUGCUCCAAGGUGCAUUCAGGGCUCUCUUGGCUUGGGUGUGAGGAAAACCUGUGUUUCUUUGUUCUUUUAAGUAAGAGAUCCUUGUUUUGUAUUAUUAAAAGUG
Long non-coding RNA from Gadus morhua (Atlantic cod), 684 nucleotides. RefSeq lists it as uncharacterized. The record is from RefSeq and is a predicted model, not a curated record. Lineage: Eukaryota; Metazoa; Chordata; Actinopteri; Gadiformes; Gadidae. The transcript is spliced from 3 exons.